This 69-nucleotide transfer RNA is filed under the name Leptosciurus mimulus. RNAcentral describes it as "tRNA-Ile". It matches the Rfam family "tRNA". From Rfam's summary of the family: Transfer RNA (tRNA) molecules are approximately 80 nucleotides in length. Their secondary structure includes four short double-helical elements and three loops (D, anti-codon, and T loops). Further hydrogen bonds mediate the characteristic L-shaped molecular structure. tRNAs have two regions of fundamental functional importance: the anti-codon, which is responsible for specific mRNA codon recognition, and the 3' end, to which the tRNAs corresponding amino acid is attached (by aminoacyl-tRNA synthetases). tRNAs cope with the degeneracy of the genetic code in two manners: having more than one tRNA (with a specific anti-codon) for a particular amino acid; and 'wobble' base-pairing, i.e. permitting non-standard base-pairing at the 3rd anti-codon position. Lineage: Eukaryota; Metazoa; Chordata; Mammalia; Rodentia; Sciuridae. The record is from RNAcentral.
AGAAAUAUGUCUGAUAAAAGAGUUACUUUGAUAGAGUAAAUCAUAGAGGUUUAAAUCCUCUUGUUUCUG